Paramuricea clavata is the source of this 358-nucleotide non-coding RNA. NCBI's taxonomy places the organism in Eukaryota, Metazoa, Cnidaria, Anthozoa, Malacalcyonacea, Plexauridae. The record is from the annotation of a GenBank genome assembly.
UUUUGUAUUUAAGAAGAAAUAUGGUAUGUCCGGAAAAAUUUUUUACCCCGACGUCGCCAAAAAAAUUUUGAGAUGCCUUUUUUUUUUUUAAAGUGCCCUUCAAAGCCUGCCCCCCCCCCCAACUUUUCUAAGCUUCCUACGCCCCUGGUUUAUAUCAAACGAGAGCGUAUUAAGAAAUCCACGUUGAUCACAAUCUAACGAUUCAUACAAUUGUAAAUUCAUAAAUACGAGCCAGUGAAAAUAGGAUUCUUUUGUCGUAUGUGACUCUAUCGGGUGGUAAUAUGUCUCGCACGUGAUUGUAAAGUCCUAGUAUUUAUAUGUAGCUUCACAUAUGAGUAAUUUUUCGCGGAAAUAGGUG